GAUGAAGAACGUAGCGAAAUGCGAUAACUAGUGUGAAUUGCAGAAUUCAGUGAAUCAUCGAAUCUUUGAACGCACAUUGCGCCCGGUAGUAAUCUGCCGGGCAUGCCUGUCCGAGCGUCAUUUCAACCCUCGAACCACUAUUCGCGUAGCUGGAUCGGUGUUGGGGCACUACGGUGGAAUACCCGUAGGCCCCGAAAUGAAGUGGCGGUCCCGCCGCGGCGCCCCCAUGCGUAGUAACAUCUCGUCUCGCAUCGGGUCCCGGCGGAGGCCUGCCGUCAAGCCUAUUUUCUAAUUACAGAUGGUUUGACCUCGGAUCAGGUAGGGUUACCCGCUGAACUUAAGCAUAUCAAUAAGCGGAGGA
This 361-nucleotide unclassified non-coding RNA is filed under the name soil metagenome. RNAcentral describes it as "partial contains 5.8S ribosomal RNA, internal transcribed spacer 2, and large subunit ribosomal RNA". The stretch from base 1 to 120 matches the Rfam family "5.8S ribosomal RNA", at positions 35 to 154 of the family's 154-position model. The record is from RNAcentral.